UUGACCUCGAAUCAGGUAGGAAUACCCGCUGAACUUAAGCAUAUCAAUAAGCGGAGGAAAAGAAACCAACAGGGAUUGCCUCAGUAACGGCGAGUGAAGCGGCAACAGCUCAAAUUUGAAAUCUGGCCCCCCGGCCCGAGUUGUAAUUUGCAGAGGAUGCUUCGGGCGCGGUGCCUUCCAAGUCCCCUGGAACGGGGCGCCGGAGAGGGUGAGAGCCCCGUACGGUUGGCGGCCAAGCCUGUGUGAAGCUCCUUCGACGAGUCGAGUAGUUUGGGAAUGCUGCUCUAAGCGGGAGGUAGACCCCUUCUAAAGCUAAAUAUAGGCCAGAGACCGAUAGCGCACAAGUAGAGUGAUCGAAAGAUGAAAAGCACUUUGAAAAGAGGGUUAAACAGCACGUGAAAUUGUUGAAAGGGAAG
RNAcentral lists this ribosomal RNA (416 nucleotides) under Chloridium costaricense. Its description in RNAcentral is "eukaryotic LSU rRNA". It matches the Rfam family "Eukaryotic large subunit ribosomal RNA", at positions 1 to 419 of the family's 3401-position model. Lineage: Eukaryota; Fungi; Ascomycota; Sordariomycetes; Chaetosphaeriales; Chaetosphaeriaceae. The record is from RNAcentral.